ACAAAAUAGGGGUGAGUACAAAGGUACUCAACAAGUCCAACCCCAUCCACAGAGGGGGAUACAGCAAGAAUAUGCAUAGGAUAUAACAAGGAUGAGGUUAAGGUUCAUUUGCAAUAAAGCUAGAUUUUUAACUCAUGCAUGGCUUCAUUUUCAAAGAGUUUUCGCAAUGUAUUUUAUUUAGUAACUGAAACAUUGAUUGGGGUUGAUCCUACACAAAGGAUCCAAGUUUUAUCGCUACCGGACUCCCCGUCCACCGUAGUGCACGGCAGAACUGUCGGACACUUCCAAAAUCCAAUACACGCCAUAAAAACCAACCAUCUCCAAAAGCUAGUUAUGUGACCAAGCCGUAACUC
Molecule: long non-coding RNA, 353 nt
Filed under: Setaria viridis
Lineage: Eukaryota; Viridiplantae; Streptophyta; Magnoliopsida; Poales; Poaceae
Description: long non-coding RNA (SVIR_LNC008196)
Source: RNAcentral